This 2219-nucleotide long non-coding RNA is filed under the name Ananas comosus (pineapple). RNAcentral describes it as "long non-coding RNA (ACOM_LNC025704)". Lineage: Eukaryota; Viridiplantae; Streptophyta; Magnoliopsida; Poales; Bromeliaceae. The record is from RNAcentral.
UAAACAUAAAAAUUUAUAAUAUAAUAGCCAAAAUACUGAAAAUAAAUAUUAAAAAAAUAUAGAAAUUCUAAAAAAAAAACCUUAAAUUGGAAUAAUCGAAUCCCACGUAAUUUAAAAUAUAUUGUAUGUUAGAAAAAUCUGAGUAAACAAAUAAAGUAUCAAAUUCAAAUAAAAAAAAAACCUUUCAAAUAGUUAAUUGUUACAGACAGAUGCGAUCAAUUUUCUUGAGACAAAAUAAACAGUAUUUAGUAUAUAUUAUUUCUUAUUCAUCAAAAAUGAGUAUGAGUACAACCCUUUAUAUAAAUUCUAAAUUGACUUUUCAUAUUCUAAGAUGACCUUUCAUUUUCUUCUAUUAAAAUAUACGACUUUUCAUAUUCCCAACUUUUUAAAUUUUUAUCCAACCUUUCACCAUCUAAUUAAUUUAUAAAAAAUUGGUGGGACCUGCACUCUUAAUUUAAAUUCUAAAUUGACUUUUCAUAUUCUAAGAUGACCUUUCAUUUUCUUCUAUUAAAAUAUACGACUUUUCAUAUUCCCAACUUUUUAAAUUUUUAUCCAACCUUUCACCGUCUAAUUAAUUUAAAAAAAAUUGGUGGGACCUGCACUCUUAAUUUAAGGGGUAGUAGGGCUAUAUUCCUAAAUUAAAGGAAUGAUAAUCUAUCCCUAGAAAAAAAAUAAUGAAAGAGAAAAUUCAAUUAAUUUUAAAAAAUAAAAAAUUGAUGGGACCCACACCCCCAAAUUAAGGAGGUUGGGCCACAUUAGCUUGAAAGACAUGAGGAUUCAUAGUUUUACUAGUGUAGAGACCCGCGCGAUGCAGCGGGUAGAUAAUAGAAACAAAUUAUUAAUAUUUUAAUAAAAUUUAUAUUUACAGCUUAUAGAAAGCUAUGCCAUGUUAAGCACAGUCAAUUUGCAUGACUAAAUUCAAUUGUUAAAAAAUAAAAUAAUAGCUAGAAGCAUAUGAAAUACAUAAAUAAUAACUUAACGUAUCUAGCUUAAGAAAAUUUUGGUUGGCGUCUCAGGCUCCAGUCUCCGCAUCAUACUUUUUAAUUUACGAAAGAAAUUUUGCCCACAACAGUGUCUACUAAAAAAAAUGAUCAUAAUAUGAAAAUAAAACAAAAAACAUCAAUAUUAAAAAAACUAAUAUUUGUUUGGAGCACUUCUCUCACUCAUCCAAACCUUAUACAUCUUCUUAAUCUUCAGCUGGUAGUUGCUCCCCGUGCCGAGUCAUUGCUGAAUUUCCAUUGUAACCUAUGAACAAACACCUCAUCUGCAUUAUCAAACUGCGAUAUCUAAACCGACACAGCCUUACCAUCACAUCAGCCACAGAAACCCUAAUUCUUAAAUAAUUUGAUUUACCAAGAAGUUCCUGCGAUUCUUGAGAAGCGAGCUCCCGCACAACAUCCCCGCGAAGAGGAGGCUAGGACGGCGCUCCCCUCGGCCGAGUUGCGGGCGCGCGUGAGCCGUGCGAGGAGGCAGCCGAGGCGGCGGCGGUUCAUGGCGAGCGACGGCUCCGGUGCAGACCGGCCCAGCGAGCACUUAUAUGGGCCGCAACAUAGCCGUAUCAGCCACUACUUAUUGAUUGUGACAACUUCUUCACCAGGUGAACAUCGCGAUCAAUUGUAGCCGACAUCUAUUUUCGCCACCUUCGAAGUCUCUUUUCGCUCUUUUUCUCCUUAAUCUCUUUCUCUCUACCAGCUAAAGCAAUUGAAGUUCCAAAUUGGAGGGGAGUGGAUUGGAGUUACAAAGCUCACUAAUUGGUGAAAUAUAAUGCAUGUAAUUAAAUGUGGAGAGGUGAAGAGUUGAGCAUUUAGAAGUGGAAAUUAAUGGUGGAGGAGAAUGGAUUGAGUUACAAAGCUCACUAAUUGAUAGAAUAUGAUGUAAUGUAAUUAAAUGUGGAGAGGUGAAGGGUUUAGCAUAGCAUUUAGAAGUGAGGAUUAAUGAUGGAGGGGAGUGGAUUGGAGUUACAAAGCUCACUAAUUGGUGGAAUAUAAUGCAUGUAAUUAAAUAUGGAGAGGUGAAGGGUUAAGCAUUUAGAAGUGGAAAAGAAACGUAAAUUUUAUAUUGGGGAUUCAUAUAAGAGAUGGAUAUUAUUUAUUAACCUAAGAUGAAGGAUUUCUUGCCACGUGGCAAGAAAUAUUGUGGAUUCAUUAUGUUUAAUAGAUAUAGAUUACUUUAUUUAUAUAUAUAUUAGCAUUAUUAUGUGUAAUUUUUUUAAAUAAAAA